RNAcentral lists this transfer RNA (73 nucleotides) under Bos taurus (domestic cattle). It matches the Rfam family "tRNA". From Rfam's summary of the family: Transfer RNA (tRNA) molecules are approximately 80 nucleotides in length. Their secondary structure includes four short double-helical elements and three loops (D, anti-codon, and T loops). Lineage: Eukaryota; Metazoa; Chordata; Mammalia; Artiodactyla; Bovidae. RNAcentral also lists the same sequence under 2 other names. The record is from Rfam by way of RNAcentral.
UCCCUGGCGGUCUAGUGGUUAGGAUUCUGUGCUUCAAUUGCAGGGGGUACAGGUUUGAUCCCUGUUCAGGGAA